CCUACGGGUGGCAGCAGUGGGGAAUAUUGCACAAUGGGGGAAACCCUGAUGCAGCGACGCCGCGUGAGUGAAGAAGUAAUUCGUUACGUAAAGCUCUAUCAGCAGGGAAGAAAUACUGACCUUACGGUCAGCAGACGGUACCUGAGUAAGAAGCCCCGGCUAACUCCGUGCCAGCAGCCGCGGUAAUACGGAGGAUGCGAGCGUUAUCCGGAUUUAUUGGGUUUAAAGGGUGCGUAGGCGGGCAUUUAAGCCGGCGGUCAAAUGUCGGGGCUCAACCCCGGCCUGCCGUCGGAACUGGGUGCCUUGAGUGGGCGAGAAGUAUGCGGAAUGCGUGGUGUAGCGGUGAAAUGCAUAGAUAUCACGCAGAACCCCGAUUGCGAAGGCAGCAUACCGGCGCCCUACUGACGCUGAGGCACGAAAGUGCGGGUAUCGAACAGGAUUAGAUACCCCUGUAGUC
Molecule: ribosomal RNA, 457 nt
Filed under: uncultured bacterium
Lineage: Bacteria
Description: partial 16S ribosomal RNA
Rfam family: Bacterial small subunit ribosomal RNA
Source: RNAcentral